Molecule: long non-coding RNA, 403 nt
Organism: Zingiber officinale
Lineage: Eukaryota; Viridiplantae; Streptophyta; Magnoliopsida; Zingiberales; Zingiberaceae
Exons: 3
Source: RefSeq, a predicted model, not a curated record
GGUUUUCCCUUUCUCGCCGAAAACUUUCGUUCCUUUCUCCUCUUCCUCCCGACGCGAGCGGCGUUUCUGUGCUUGGGCGAAAUCGAAGCCGAGUUAGGUUUCCUCCCUCUGGUAGCCGGUGAAGGCUUUCUUUCGGCGGACCUUGCUGGUUUCGAACCUCCCGUCGAAGAGAAUGCGUGGACACAAGGAGAACGCCGAAAUCUCAAGCUUUACCCGAUCCCUAGCUGCCUUUCUUCGGUUGUAAGUGCAAGAACAAGGAAUAAAAGAUAUGAAAGGGAGGCGACAGGGUGGUGGUGGCGAUGAAGGUGUGUGAUGACUGGACUAUGGAGAGAUCCAGAGUUUGCUAGCAAACCUUCAGGACCUAUAUGUUUAGAAUAAAAGAUAUGAAAGGGAGGCGACAGGG